UACGGGGGGCGCAAACGUUGCUCGGAAUUAUUGGACGUAAAGCGCACGUAGGCGGUCCUGUAAGUCGGGUGUGAAAGCCCCAGGCUUAACCUGGGAAGUGCACUCGAAACUGUAGGGCUUGAGUAUGGAAGAGGGUCUCGGAAUUCCCGGUGUAGAGGUGAAAUUCGUAGAUAUCGGGAGGAACACCUGUGGCGAAGGCGGAGAUCUGGGCCAAUACUGACGCUGAGGUGCGAAAGCGUGGGGAGCAAACAGG
This 253-nucleotide ribosomal RNA is filed under the name uncultured bacterium. Its description in RNAcentral is "partial 16S ribosomal RNA". It matches the Rfam family "Bacterial small subunit ribosomal RNA", at positions 524 to 776 of the family's 1533-position model. The record is from RNAcentral.